RNAcentral lists this long non-coding RNA (300 nucleotides) under Brassica napus (rape). RNAcentral's name for it is "long non-coding RNA (BNAP_LNC025212)". The record is from RNAcentral. Lineage: Eukaryota; Viridiplantae; Streptophyta; Magnoliopsida; Brassicales; Brassicaceae.
UGGCUAUCUCAUCUUUAGCUAGUACCCACCUUAAAACCCUAAAGCCUUUGUUCUGCUCUCAUGCAUUUGUUAUUCAGUAUCUUAUGUGCAGAUAUGUGCAAAAGGGCCAGAGAGGAAAGGAUCGACGCAGUCUCUUACUCGUUGAUACAACAGAAGUUUCUGCUAAAGAAUAGGCGGAAGCACGCGUCUGGGAACCAAAAUUCGCACUGUCGAUUUCCGUUUAAAUUAGGAAAGUAGGAGAACCCUAGUUUCCUAGAAGUCUCGGAUAUCUGCUAAUACCACACGCUAAGCAAUCAGAAC